Triticum aestivum (bread wheat) is the source of this 2376-nucleotide long non-coding RNA. RefSeq lists it as uncharacterized. The transcript is spliced from 6 exons. The record is from RefSeq and is a predicted model, not a curated record. Lineage: Eukaryota; Viridiplantae; Streptophyta; Magnoliopsida; Poales; Poaceae.
UAACCCGCAGUCCGUUAAAUAAUAUGGAAAAAAUACCCAUCCCCAAUUCGUGCGGCCGCGCACCCCACCGAUGGAUCCGCCGCUCCCCCCCGCCGCCGGCACGCCAUCCUCCGCCGCGCCGUCCUCCCCGCACCCUGGCCUGUAUCCUCUCCGCCGCGCCCUCCUCCCCGCGUCGUCCGAGUCCUCCGGGCGCGGUUCGCCGAAGGCGAGGCCCAGGCCGAUGCGCUCCUGGCCCGCGCCGGCCGGUUCGAGCGCACGCCGCCGACCGCGACCAGCUGCUCAUCACGCUCCUCUCCGAUGCGGGAAACGGCCGAGAGGAGGAGGACGCGCGGGAGGCGGGGCAGCGUCCGAUCCGGCCGAGGCUUACGGCGACACGGACGCGGAGGCUCUGGUAGCUGUCGCUGCGCUCCCUCCGUUCACUACCUUCCCGAUGGCUUUCUCUGUUCAAUUGCUUAAUUUGGUUGUCUUGUCUUACCUGAACUGCAAGGGAACCAACAUACAUGGCAUGAUGGAUGGAGAUCAGUAGAUGUUUUUUUGUUCUGUUCACAUGCUUUCUAAUAGUUUCCAUAGGAUUAUAGGCAUGAGCUUUGAGCAAUAGGCAUAAAUUUGUUGUAAUCAAUCAAAGGCAGUGAGAACGUUUACUGAAAUCUUUAGAAGUGGGGAUCCUCUGAAUUGCUUUGAUUGAACGUCCAACGAGGAUCUCAUCUUAUAGUAACUCUGAAACAUUGUAUUGGUAGUUUUUAUCUUUACACUUUUGCCUUCUGUACAUACUGGAUUGCAUUGUUUAGGACACGACAAAGCGCUGCAAGCAGCUCAUGAGAGUAGUUAGCAAACGCAAAUCAUUGUAUAUGUCACUUAUGCUUCUCUUAAUAGAAAAUAGUACUAUUUUGGAGAAGAGCAUCUGGCUGACUUUCAAUAAAACUCUUCAGGUUUUGUUUGGUGAGAUUCUCUUCAGAAAACAAGAUUUGUAUUGGUGGUAGAUCGACAGCAACUGACAACAUCUUCGUCAUCCGCGGUGGCAGUGCCAUGCCAUCCGUGCGGAAUGCCUUCUGCGGCCGCGCCGCCACCACCGCCACCGCCAUGCAGCCAAUGAUGUCAGCAUGUGGUGAAAAAAGGGCCCAAGUGAAAGGUCGACCAAGCUGUAAAAAUUCAGUGAGAGGAAAUUUUGUGCUCACAGCUCACACCAUGGCGUCCGUUGCCUCUGUUCUUACUUUAUUAUUUUGUUUUUCCCUUCGUCGAUUUUUCACGUUGCCUGACAAGAACAAGAAUUGCAAAGGAGAAGUGAAAAGAAAACACAGAACAAAGGAUGAACGCCGGAGAGCACUACUAUAUAAUUUUCCCCCAAAAUAUGAUGGGCAGUGGUGUGCUUGUUUGCAUUGAUCGCAUGGUGGCCGGCACUUCACCACACAUCGUACGGCGACUGUUUUAUCCAUGAGGUGGAGGAUAAGAGAAGCGCAUCUCUGAAAUUCACAGUUCUGAACCUAAAGAGACACAUCUAGAAAAUGAUUGCACGAGUGGUUCCAGUGUCAUGUACAUCAACAUGGUUGGAGAUUUGGGAUCGGAUGCUGCGCCAAGAGCGAGGGACCGAGGUGCUGAACUAACAGCAGGGGGGAGGGUGAUUCUUCAGUGUAGGGAUGUUGUAUCUGAUUAACAAAACAUUGUUCAACCUUCUACGAGUCCACCUAGGGAGCUGCACAAAUUUGAAACAACUUCCAGAACAUGCAUCCAAGCAUUUUGGUCUGCUACCAGUAAGUUGCCAGAGCAAGAUAGCUGGGAGUCUGGGAUGUCGAGUCGUCGAGCCGUCCAAUGCCAAGUUCGCCAGCGGAAGGAGAACAUCCGUCAAGGCGUCCGUCGCCUGAGGCGGCUACACCAGAGGUCCGUGGGUUACUACUCCUUUGCUCUUGCUGGCGACCGGCCUCCAGUGUAGCACUUGCUUGAGAUCUGAUCUAGAACUGAAUUGUGCCCUGCUUUGCUGUGGUCGUAUGCUCUGUGUCCACCGAUGAGUUUCAGAUACAGAUUAGGACCAAAAUUGGAGUAGGUUCAGUCGCGCAAAUGUUGUAUCACUUUGUCAUGGGUAUUGUGCUGCUGAAUUGCUUGUUGGACUGUUCAAACUAAAGUCGUCCAGUCAGUUUGCUACAAUGUUCAUUUGUUUACUUUGGAAGUUCUGUAGAAUUUGGGCCUGAUCACUUUUGAAUUUGUCUGUGGUUUGAGAUUAAUCUUUCCGAGAUGUUAGAGAGUGGGUCCAAGGAUGGAUCUGCCCAUCAGUGUGCAGAGGAUCUUCUAAUUCCUGCAGCUAAUCUUGAUUCAUGGAUAUUGUGUUUGCUCUGUGGCGCACUAUGUUUCAGUUUAUUUUUUCUGAAAAAUUGGCGCUACUUC